This 26-nucleotide small RNA is filed under the name Bombyx mori (domestic silkworm). RNAcentral describes it as "ovarian small RNA-15905". The record is from RNAcentral. Lineage: Eukaryota; Metazoa; Arthropoda; Insecta; Lepidoptera; Bombycidae.
GAGGCAUUCAGGGGAUGAGGGGUUGG